UUAUUUUUUUUUCAAAUUAUACUAUUUCGAAAUAAAGACCUAAAACCCUAAAACUCAACUCUAAACCCUAAACCAUCAAUCAUAAACCUUUUUUUUUUGAAAUACGAACCUUGAACCCUAAACCCUAAACCAUCAAUCUUAAACCCUAUUUUUUUUUGAAAUACGAACCCUAAACCCUGAAACAUCAACUCUAAACCCUAAACCUCGAAACCUCAACUAUAAACCCUAAAUCCUAAACCUUCAACUCUAAACCUGAUUUAAAGUUGAUGUUUCAGAGUUUAGGGUUUAGAGUCGAUGUUUCAGAGUUUAGGGUUUAGAGUUGAUGAUUUAGAGUUUAAAGUUGAUGUUUAUAAACCCUAAAUCCUAAACCUUCAACUCUAAACCCUAAAGCAUCAACUCUAAACCCUAAACCCUAAACUUCAACUCUAAACCCUAAACCAUCAACACUAAACCCUAAACUAUCAACACUAAACCCUAAACCCUAAAAAGUAAACUCUAAACCCUAAACCCUAAAAAAUUAACCCUAAACCCUAAAACAUCAACUCUCAACCCUAAACCCUAAACCUUCAACUCUAAACCCUAAACUCUAAACCCUAAACUCUAAACCCUAAACUCUAAACUCUAAACCCUAAACCCUAAACCCUAAAACCCUAGAGUUGAUGUUUUAGGGUUUAGAUUUGAAGGUUUAGGGUUUUAUGGUUUAGGGUUUACGUUUAGGGUUUAGAGUUGAUGUUUUAGGGUUUAGAUUUGAAGGUUUAGGGUUUUAGGGUUUAGGGUUCGAAUUUCAGAAAAAUAUAGGGUUUAGGGUUUACGUUUAGGGUUUAGAGUUGAUGUUUUAGGGUUUCGAUUUGAAGGUUUAGAGUUUAUGAUUUAAAGUUGAUGUUUCAGAGUUUAGGGUUUAGAGUCGAUGUUUCAGAGUUUAGGGUUUAGAGUUGAUGAUUUAGAGUUUAAAGUUGAUGUUUUAAGUUUAGAUUUAGGGUUUAGGAUUUACGUUUAGAGUUUAAAGUUGAUGUUUUAGGGUUUAGAUUUGAAGGUUUAGGGUUUAGGGUUUAGAAUUGAUGUUUUGGAGUUUAGGGUUUAGGGUUUAGAGUUGAUGUUUCGUGAUUUAGGGUUUAGAGUUGAUGAUUUAGGGUUUAGAAUUAUGUUUUAAGUUUAGAUUAGUUAACCAUAUGUUUUUUUUUUGUUAAAGUAAAUCAAAAGGUUAUAAAUGUCUUUUACCCUUUAUUAAAGAUGAGGGUAAAAGUGAUUAGUGUAAACGUGAAAAAUUGUACUUUGAAAAUGAUAUUUUGGUAGUUUCCCAUACAUCAAACCUGAUACAGUGCACGAAAUCCCAAAUCAUUCAAUUUCACAAGUAUAUGUCUUUUCUAUCAUUUUCGGUUUUAGAUUUUUUUUUUUUGAAUUUGCUUUUUUACCGAUACUAGUAGUUAGUAGUAAAAUGCUAGUCUUUUUGUUUCAUAUAUAUUAAGUGUCAGUUUAGUUUUUAAAUUUUGUUUCAUUAUAAGUAUUUUUUUUUACAUUUCCAAUGCAUAUUUUAGAAAGCUUUUCUAAUUUUUGCCUUUAUUUUAAAUUCAUUAGUUACUAAAACCAAACAAAAAUACAUUAAAUAGGGGUGAAAUGGAAAAUUAAAAAAAAAAAUGAUCCAUAUGUAAAAAUUUAAUUAUGAAAUGGAGGGAGUAAAAUGUAGCAUGAAAUAUUGGCAUCCACGGAAACGAUGAGCGAGUUGAAUCCUAACCAUUAAUUUAGAAAAAUACAAUAAAAUUCAAAUAAGGAAACAAUAAUUAGGUCGAAGUUAUAACAACGACUAGAUAAAUUUCCAAAUGACUUUCCACCAUACAUUUAGGUCGUCUCGCAAGCAAAGAUCGCACCAUACGCAUAAAUGUACACAAUGUUCUGUAUAAACUUGUUAAUUGACUUUCCAACAAAAUAUAUAAUGUUCCCAUGCUUUUGAAAUAUAUAUAUAUCGUUAUUAUGACAUACUGUCUGUUAAACUAGAUGAGAUUUCAACCUAAAACCAAUUGGUGAUAAAUGGAGUGGCUCAUCUAUCUUAUAUACACUACAAGAAAAACUGUCUAUAGCCAUAAUUGUUUUUGUGGCUAUGACCUAAAUUCAGUAGCUUUUCGUAGCUAUUUUUGUGGCAACUUUUGCAGCUAUAAGCUUGUGGAUAUCGGUCGUUUGUGGCUAUUUGCGGCGGGAGUUCUACAACCUAGCCACAAUGAUAUUUUGUGGCUAAUAUCCACAAAUAGUAAGAAACCAUAUUUUGUAGCUGCAUUAACCACUAAUAGCUACAAACAAAACCACAGCUAUAUUAAAUACAAAUAAUCAUAUAUAAUUGUUGCUAUAUUAUAAAUUAUUAUUUUUUGAAAAUAUAAUUAUAUAAUUAAAUUAAUUUGUAAUAUAUAAAAAUGCUAAAUUUAAUCUUUAUUAAGAAUUAAUUUAAAUGUACACACAUAGUUUCAAAAACAAAAAUCUACAAAUAUGUAGCUAUGAUCGAUCUUAACUAAAAAAAAACAUUUCAUUUUGAUAUCAGCAAGGAUUUUAUUGGUUGUGGUGUUGUUCUCCUCCUAAUGUUCUUCAUAAGUGCAUCUUGCUCUUCUUCGCUAAGAGAUGACACAACUCUAGGCACCUACAAAUUAGAAAAGACAUAAGAUUAGCACCAACUGAAAUUAUUCUAACAACUAAAACAAAACCAGAGAACUGAGCAUACCUCGUGACCAUAGGCCAAAUUUCUUGGAGCCCAGUGUGAGUGAACCUAAAACAGAAUCAUGAUCAGUCACUAAGUCAUUCAAGGCCAGAGCAAAACCAAACUCUUACAAAAAUACAAUGAAGCUCAAUUCACAAAUCCGUACCUCAAAAGCAUAAACAUGUUUUGGUACAAAGGCCAACUGAUGUUCACAUACAGCUCCUGCUAUAAGAAAAAACAGUAAGAUAUUAGCAAACUUGAAAACUCAGAACCUCAAACUUAUGGUAGAGUUAAGUAGAGGCCUUCUCAGAAACAAGCCAUACACAAUACUACUCAAUAGAAUCAGAAUACCAAAACAAAUAGAGUUUCAUAGAAAUCCAAACCAAGAGAUAUAACAGUAGGAAAAUGAUAAGAAUAGGGAUAUAUAAUCCGACAUACAUCCAUCAAUACAACCGAAAACAAACUGCAGACAUACAUUGGCAAGAGACCUAACAUGUCCAAACUCAGCAUUCAAAGAAGCAGAAUGAUAGACAUAACCAAUGUCACUUGUAUCAAUAAGCAAUAACCAAACAAAUCCAGCGUAAUCAACUGAAAUAGCCAAACAGGAACACAAAUACACAUCUAUGCCUACCAGAGAUAAAGAGAAUAACAUCAACAAAAGUUGUGUUCGGAUGGAGAGAGAGAGAGAGAGAUAGACUCACAGAAGUCAUGUAACCCCUCCCGUUCAGUCCUACCGAAGACGUCUCCCACCGCCGCCGUCCAUGAGACUAAAGGGCUUCUCUGUCAUAGGAAUAAUUCACCCAAUAAUGCAGAGAUUGAUUAAACCCUUAAUCGAUUUCAGUAUAAAGACAUCAAUUACCCAAAACUUAAGAGAAUUAGUGCCUAUAUUCAAAGAUUUAUAGACAAAUUGAACCAUAACAAAAAAGUCAGAGAUUUCUAGACAAAUGAAGACCUAGAUCGGUUUCACACCAGAAGAAAAAGAUGACUGAAAGAAAAAUAAAUCUUUGAAUCUGUAAAUAAAAGCAGAACACUGAAAGAGAAUCAUCGAAUCUUAGAGCAAAGGAGAAAAUAAGGUCACUGAUAAAUGUAAAUCAACAUCAGAAAGAGGAGAAGCAGUGAGGAAAAUUAGGGAUACUAGGGUAAACAAAGGAGAAGAUCUGGCGCAAUAUUUCGGGCAGACUUAAAAAAAUUCCUUAAAAGAUUCGCGGUGUCAACCAAAAUUUUGGGCGGGGCUUUCUAAAAAAUUGUAGAAAAGUGUUAUUUUAUUUUGCAUAAUUAGCCAUAAUAUAAGAAAAGAUUUUAAAUAUUUCAUUUUGGAUAAUUUAAAUAUCCAAAAGUGGUAAAAUCUAUUUAAAAGAUAAUUUAUAAACUCAUACAUUUAUAAAACUCAAUGAUAUUUUAUAAAAAUCAGCAUUUGAUUGUAAAGUAUAAUUUAUUUUUUACGAAAAAAAAUCUAUAAUUUAUAUAAGACAUGUGUGUCAAGAGGUUCUGAAAAAUUGUGAUUGUCCAACAGUUUAAAAUCACUUGUAUCUACCAUGAAUUCCUCAUCCAAGACUAUCAUUUGAAGUUUUAUGGUAAUUUUAAUAACUAUUAACUAUUAUUAAUCUUCUAAGUAAAACAUAUGCAUCAUAACCGUUAGGGAAGGAGUUUAAGUUUAGGGUAUGUUAGAAUUUAGGAUAUGUUUUAGGAUUUUGAAUUUGGGGGCACAAUUAUUAUAUUUGAUGUUUUAAUAUUUGUUAUUAGUGUUAGAUUAACGUUUUACAUAUUAUUUAUUGUAUUAUCUUUUAAUGUUUAUGAUUAAAUAUUAGAAAAUUAGAGUUUAGGGUAUGAGUAGGGUUUAAAUUUUCCACAAAUAGCCACAAACUAUAUUGUGUCUAUAUAUAUAUUUCUAUGAUUAUUUUUGUGGCUGAUAGUAGAUGUUGAUUUCCACAAUAUUUUAUGUGGCUAAUUGUGACUUAUUUUCUUCGGAUAGCUACAAAAUGUAAUUUGCAGCUAAUUAGCAACAUAUAUCUACAGAAUAGCUACGAAUUUUGGUUUUUAAAAACUGUUGCUAAUUUUGUGGCUUUUUGUGGCUUGAAAAAUAUAGUCACAAAAUUUUUGUAGCUAAUUCGUAGCUAUAUACAUAUUUUCUUGUAGUGAUAUUACUAAAGAUCUCUUCCAAUUAUCGAUGUGGGACCUUUGCCCCUAAUACGCCCCCUCGAGAUGAUUGCUCUUUAAGCGUCAAUCUCGGAAUGUUCGGGCAAGGAUCGAGGGCCAACUUUGGACCGGAUCGAUGUGAAUCAGGUUGGACUGCGUGGAUCGGGCUCUGAUACCAUGUUAAGCUAGAUGGACUGUCAUCACAUUAGGCUUUAUGAUGGCUUUACAAAUUUACAAUUCUAUUUGAGUUUGGUGUUUUUACGCAUUAUUAUACAUUGACAGUUCAUUUAGAUAAUCCGAGCUUUAUAAUUCGAGAAGUAAAUAAUUUAUUUUGCAUCUACUUCAUAUGUCAACACAUCGAAAUAUUUGGAAAAUAUUACCAAGUCAAAAUUCAAAUGUUUGAUUACUGAACAAUGAUCACAACUCUAUUUAGUAAAAGAAAUUCCUAAAUUAAAGAAAUUCCACUUAGUUCAGAGGGAGGAAGGACACAUAUAUAAAACUCUAAUCUCAAUUUAACAUUUUAUCAAAAGAAAAAAAAAAUACUCCAAUCUCAGUGCAUUUGCUGCAUAAUUAUUUGCAACUUGCAAGUCACCUUUGCACUUAGAAAGAGGUAAAUGAAAAAAAUAAACUCCUUUUCCAAUAGAAAAAGAAAAAAUAACGUGAAAUUGCAUGUUUACCACUUUCUUGCUACCACUUUUCAUUUUUACCACUUUUAAAGGAACAUUUUCAAAAAUACAUUCUUCAUUAAGUGGCAAAAGACUUUUAUGCUCUUGUUCUUUAUAUAUAUAUUAAAUAAAUAUUUUAAAAAAUAAAAAUCUAAAAAAAUAAAAAUAAUUUUUUUAAUUUUCUUUCUAAUUAUACUAUUUCGAAAUUAAAACCUUAAACCUUAAAACUCAACUCUAAACCCUAAACCAUCAAUCCUAAACCCUAUUUUUUUUUGAAAUACGAACCAUAAACCCUAAACCAUCAAUCGUAAACCCAAUUUUUUUUUAAAUACGAACCCUAAACCCUGAAACAUCAACUCUAAACCCUAAACCCCGAAACAUCAACUCUAAACCCUAAACCCCGAAACAUCAACUCUAAACCCUAAACCCCGAAACAUCAACUCUAAACCCUAAACCCCGAAACAUCAACUCUAAACCCUAAACCUUCAAUUCUAAACCCUAAAACAUCAACUCUAAACCGUAAACCGUAAACUUCAACUCUAAACCCUAAACCAUCAACACUAAAUCCUAAACUAUCAACACUAAACCCUAAACCCUAAAAAGUAAACUCUAAACCCUAAACCCUAAAAAAUAACCCUAAACCCUAAAACAGCAACUCUAAACCCUAAACCCUAAACCUUCAACUCUAAACCCUAAAUCCUAAACCC
Molecule: long non-coding RNA, 6188 nt
Filed under: Brassica napus (rape)
Lineage: Eukaryota; Viridiplantae; Streptophyta; Magnoliopsida; Brassicales; Brassicaceae
Description: long non-coding RNA (BNAP_LNC019537)
Source: RNAcentral